GGUCCCUGAUUUUAUCACUUCCGUUGACGAGUCUUGUGUCAGCAUCUUGAUGCGAGGUACAACUUCUAGGUGAUCUUCUUCAUGUUUUACGUUGUUGUACUUUUUGCUGCAAUGUGGACGUACAUAUUCUAGCAGAUAUAUCUUCAUGCUUUACCUUGUUUACCACUGCCCUGAUGUGGAGGUACAGAUUCUAGCUGAUAUAUAUCGUCAUGUUUUACCUUUUACCAACAUCCAAGAUUUUUGUUUCCUCAUUUCUUUCAAUUAGAUAGAAGAUGGGACGUGCUUUGUUGUAGUUUCCUCUUACUUUGACUAAGUAGGACAUUUUUUUGAAAUACCAAAUUGUGGUGUCGCUACCCCUACGCACCACGGUUUUGCAGCACCCUCAGCUAAAGUAAACCAUUCCAAGCCUACCAUACUCGAAACAUGGAAGCAUGCAAACUUCAGAGCAUCUUGGUGUCGCUGGCCACCCGAUCUCUACAACCACCACAAAAUGCUACAGGACCAACCAGGCCGGUGUCCUGACCACUGAAUCAUGUCACUGUGUGGGCGCCUAGAUCUCCCAUGUGUCUGUCUAAAGCCUGAGGGGCCAACCUCGCUCGAGCGUCGCCAGCCAGCACUCAUCUGCACAUGAACAAAUGGUUGGAUAUAUGUGCCUCCUCCGUCUCUUAUUCCCCGAAACAUAAUUUGAUGAGUAGAGUUUCUAAUCAUUUAUGGCACACUGGCAUAUGAUUAAACUGCACAAGUUAGAUUGACAUUUUGUGGAGAACGGUCGUCGGUUGGGAGCCUCGCCGUCUACCUCCACCAGCCGGCCCACACACCAUUGCUCCCCGCGUGUCGCGCCCCUCCCCGAACCAUCAUGCCUUCUAAUUAGUGUACGUGGUAGUCUGGUAAAAGUGGAGAAUAAUUCGGGUAAUGUCUAUGGAUGUACUACCAGUAUUGCGGCUAACCUGCCUGGCAGUGAGAUGCAUCUAGAUUAGAUCUGAUUACUGAUAUAGAAGAUGCAAUUAAUUAUCUAAAAUUUUCCUUGUACCAUUUUCCAUGAGAUUAAUGUAAUUGGGAAUACCAGUGCUUGUUUGAAUCAUUUAGUUAAAUAAUUUUAUAGAUAAAACUUGUAUUUGUAUGUUUUGGAAUUACUAUUAUCCUGGUAAAAUGACCACAAGUGAAAGGGUUGUAAAGAUUAAUUAUUCUUUGUGGAAGCAUUACUGGUCUAAUUAAUAGAUGUACAUGCAUCAAUAAUGUUGUUGAGCUUUAGUUGAUUCUAUAGUGUUGUACUAUUCGCAAAGUUCUAUUUUGAGAAAAAAAUGGCAAAUUCAAUAUUGUGCCAGCUAAAUGGCGCACCCGCUGUAGCAAGUGAGUUCCCAUCAAAAUCACCCUGAGCAUAUUUUUGCUGAUUUUCAUGAUUGCUCUUCUGCCAGGAACAAUGUUCCUGGCACUUCGACCACACAACUGUAUGUUCAUGUUCCAGUGUCCUUAUUCAUAGUUAAUUUCAAUCACAAAGUGACAAAUGUCAGUCUAUUAGUUAACAUGUGUAUCUCCGUUUCUUCUAAGUUUCAAUCGACCUACUCUGAAGUUGUUCCUAAGAUAGUGCCUCAAGCAAAGGGAAUGAGCCUCAGUUAGUGCAUCUAGCAAGUUCGUGAUCCUUUGUUGGGAUAAACAUUUGUGCAAGAGCAAUAGUCUCGUCACUAUUGGUUGUUAGUACUGUUGCUUGUUAAUUCUACUUUUUACUUCAGUUCGUAAUGCAAUAUAGUUAUGCUUGACGCACUAUAAGAAGACUGCCAUUUUGCCUUUUGACCUUGGUUUCUUCCUCCAGUAAGUAAAUGCACAUAGUUCUUUUGUAAAUUAGAGCAUACGACUUGUUGAUCGAUCUCUGAGCUCAGUAAUAAUAUUAAGCCUCAAUCUGUUUAUUGUGCACACAAGAUGAGAAAGAAUUGCUACCCAAGAAUAUGUACUUUAUAAACAUUUCAACUGUAAUCUGGAAAAAAAUUAAAUAAAUAAGGAAACAGUAUAUUCAUAUAUCUUUUUUGUACUUUGAUGGUGUCACACCACAAGUUCCGAGAUGGUAAUUGUGCUGCAUAUGUCUGCUCUCUUACUUUGUUUUUCUGAACAGGUAGGUUCUGGAAGAUGUCAUGAAGAAUUUCUUUCAGAGAAUUUGCGUGAGGAGUGUCUAAAUGAUUUUUAUCUUCUGAACAUAUUCUUGUAUGACUAACUGAAUUCAUUUUUUCAAAACGUCGGUACUUUUCCUUUUUCAUUUAUGUUGCUCGAUUGAGUCCACAUGCCUGCCCUUACUGAGUUUGCUCAAGAGUAAGAUAAACUUGAUAUUUAUGUUUGUCGGCAGCAGCGUGACUAGCUGAUCUGUAGCGGCGCGGAAGGUGAGCUUGGCUGCAGGUAGCAGCUCCUUUGGCUGAUCUGCGGCGAUGCAGAAGUUGGGUUGGAAAGAAGCACGACCGGCUGCUCUGAAGUGGGACGUAGGGAGAGCUUCGUAAGAGAUAGGGAGGGAGCUCUAUUGGCCCGUGCAUGACAUCCAACCCAAUGGCAUCAUGCCCUGGUAAGCUUCUUAUCUGUUCCAAUUCUUGCACUUGGUCUUUUUCUUUCUAACCCUAAAAAUAGAGUGUGCCUUGAUUCCUAAUCAUGCUUUAAAAGCUGAUAUCCACCUCGUUUAUCUUGCUACUAGUGGUAAUGUGUGCAAGUAUGAUUUUGUGAUAAUGCCAGAUGUUGUGUGCCUUCUUUAUUCAUGGUACGAGUACUCUAACCUGGCUCGUAUGAUAAUGUAUCACUGCUAUAGAGCACAAACGACGUGUUUUUUAAUUAUAUUUUAGUUGACAUGGAUUUCAUUUAUCUUGUGAAUUGUAUAGUCAGAUCAUGAAUUUUUAUGAUUGAUUGAUUUUCAUGGUCACAGGUAGGCAUGGUUGUGUGGCCACGGGGAAAAUGGAGCAAGUAGCAUGUGAGGAGUUUAACAAAUGGGGACAAGGGACAGUUUAGUUAAUUAAGGCUCUAUGUUAGUUUCAAGUUUUAUCCUUGUUGCGGUAAAAAAUUAUGGUUGGAUUAACCACCAUGUACAUCUUUAAUUACUUUUAAAUAAGAAAUAUAAUCAAAAUAUUCUUUUGAAUUGAUAAAAUUUAUAUAAUUUGUACAAGUACAUGAAGGUGGAACAGGAGGAAGGGUGGGAGAAGAUUAGAUAUCGUUUCAUUUUCUUGCAAGGAAAGGAUGGUUACGAAGAAAUGACAAGAAAUGGAGGGACAAUCAGUUUUAUUACUGUAUGGAUGGAAACCACAUGCCAGCUUGUCCAACAUAUUUCUACAUUGAGUCAAUUAUUCAAUCGCUAUAUUUUUUUUAUUCCAUGGCAAUGCAUGGUCAUUCAACUAUUCAAAUUUACGG
Molecule: long non-coding RNA, 3375 nt
Filed under: Triticum aestivum (bread wheat)
Lineage: Eukaryota; Viridiplantae; Streptophyta; Magnoliopsida; Poales; Poaceae
Description: long non-coding RNA (TAES_LNC003952)
Source: RNAcentral